AGUAUGCAGUCGAGUGGUGUGAUG
RNAcentral lists this non-coding RNA (24 nucleotides) under Arabidopsis thaliana (thale cress). Lineage: Eukaryota; Viridiplantae; Streptophyta; Magnoliopsida; Brassicales; Brassicaceae. The record is from RNAcentral.